This 2714-nucleotide ribosomal RNA is filed under the name Clostridioides difficile. RNAcentral's name for it is "partial 23S ribosomal RNA". It matches the Rfam family "Bacterial large subunit ribosomal RNA". The record is from RNAcentral. Lineage: Bacteria; Bacillati; Bacillota; Clostridia; Peptostreptococcales; Peptostreptococcaceae.
GGUCAAGUUAUUAAGGGUGCAGGGCGGAUGCCUUGGCACUAGGAGCCGAUGAAGGACGUGAUAAGCUGCGAUAAGCUUCGGGGAGUUGCACGUAAACUUUGAUCCGAAGAUUUCCGAAUGAGGAAACUCACUUAGAGUAAUGUCUAAGUAUCAUUAAGUGAAUACAUAGCUUAAUGAGGGGAACUCAGGGAACUGAAACAUCUAAGUACCUGAAGGAAGAGAAAGAAAUUCGAUUCCGUAAGUAGCGGCGAGCGAACGCGGAUUAGCCCAAACCAAUAAAGUUUUCUUUAUUGGGGUUGCGGACAUAUCAUAACGAAGAGGUAUCGUAAUUGAAGAGGUUUGGAAAGACCCACCACAGAAGGUAAUAGUCCUGUAUGUUAAACGAGAAGACUUCAGAUAUGAUCCAGAGUACCACGGGACACGUGAAACCCUGUGGGAAGCAGGAGGGACCACCCUCCAAGGCUAAAUACUACCUAGUGACCGAUAGCGUAUAGUACCGUGAGGGAAAGGUGAAAAGAACCCCGGGAGGGGAGUGAAAUAGAACCUGAAACCCUGCACUUACAAGCUGUGGAAGCACAUUUCUUGUGUGACCGCGUACUUUUUGUAGAACGGGCCAACGAGUUACGUUAAGUAGCAAGGUUAAGCACUUAAGGUGCGGAGCCGUAGCGAAAGCGAGUUUUAACUGAGCGUUCAGUUACUUGACGUAGACCCGAAACCGGGCGACCUACCCAUGAGCAGGAUGAAGCGAAAGUAAAAUUUCGUGGAGGUCCGAACCCACGAGCGUUGAAAAGCUCGGGGAUGACUUGUGGGUAGCGGUGAAAUUCCAAUCGAGCCCGGAGAUAGCUGGUUCUCCCCGAAAUAGCUUUAGGGCUAGCCUCAAGGUGAGAGAUACGGAGGUAGAGCACUGAAUGUCCUAGGGGGUAUUGCACCUACCGAAGACUAUCAAACUCCGAAUGCCGUCAUCUUAUACUUGGGAGUCAGACUGUGGGUGAUAAGAUUCAUAGUCGAAAGGGCAACAGCCCAGAUCGUCAGCUAAGGUCCCUAAAUGUAAGUUAAGUGGUAAAGGAUGUGGGAUUGCACAGACAACCAGGAUGUUGGCUUAGAAGCAGCCACUCAUUCAAAGAGUGCGUAAUAGCUCACUGGUCGAGUGAUCCUGCGCCGAAGAUUUCCGGGGCUAAAACUUACUACCGAAGCUACGGCAUCAGUAAUGAUGGGUAGGGGAGCUUCCCAUACGGGUUGAAGCAUGACCGUAAGGACAUGUGGACAGUAUGGGAGUGAGAAUGUUGGCAUGAGUAGCGAGAUGUGGGUGAGAAUCCCACAGGCCGUAAACCCAAGGUUUCCAGGGGAAGGUUCGUCCGCCCUGGGUUAGUCGGGACCUAAGCUGAGGCCGAAAGGCGUAGGUGAUGGACAACAGGUUGAUAUUCCUGUACUACCGAUAACCGUUUGAGAGAAGGGAUGACACAGUAGGAUAAGCUAAGCACACUGUUGGUUAUGUGUGCCCAAGCAUUGAGGCAGUCAAAGUAGGCAAAUCCGCUUUGAUAAUGCUGGGAUGUGAUGGGGAGCGAAAUUUAGUAGCGAAGUAGCUGAUUUCACACUGUCAAGAAAAGUCUCUAUCGAGGUUAAAGGUACCCGUACCGCAAACCGACACAGGUGGGUGAGGAGAGUAUCCUAAGGCCAGCGAGAGAACUGUUGUUAAGGAACUCGGCAAAAUGACCCCGUAACUUAGGGAUAAGGGGUGCCACCAUCAGGUGGCCGCAGAGAAUAGGCCCAAGCGACUGUUUACCAAAAACAUAGGUUUCUGCUAAGUCGCAAGACGAUGUAUAGGAGCUGACGCCUGCCCGGUGCUGGAAGGUUAAGGGGAUCUGUUAGAGCAAUCGAAGCAGUGAACUUAAGCCCCAGUAAACGGCGGCCGUAACUAUAACGGUCCUAAGGUAGCGAAAUUCCUUGUCGGGUAAGUUCCGACCCGCACGAAAGGCGUAACGAUUUGGGCACUGUCUCAACAACAGACUCGGUGAAAUUGUAAUUCCGGUGAAGAUGCCGGAUACCUGCGACAGGACGGAAAGACCCCAUGGAGCUUUACUGUAGCUUGACAUUGGGUCUUGGUACUACAUGUACAGGAUAGGUGGGAGGCUUUGAAACCAGGACGCCAGUUUUGGCGGAGCCAUCCUUGGGAUACCACCCUUGUAGUACUGGGACUCUAACCAUAGGCCAUGAAUCUGGUCUUGGGACACUGUCAGGUGGGCAGUUUGACUGGGGCGGUCGCCUCCCAAAAGGUAACGGAGGCGCUCAAAGGUUCUCUCAGUACGGUCGGAAAUCGUACGUAGAGUGUAAAGGCAAAAGAGAGCUUGAUUGCAAGACAUACAGGUCGAGCAAGGAUGAAAAUCGGACUUAGUGAUCCGGUGGUUCUGCGUGGAAGGGCCAUCGCUCAACGGAUAAAAGCUACCCUGGGGAUAACAGGCUUAUCUCCCCCAAGAGUCCACAUCGACGGGGAGGUUUGGCACCUCGAUGUCGGCUCAUCACAUCCUGGGGCUGUAGUAGGUCCCAAGGGUUGGGCUGUUCGCCCAUUAAAGUGGUACGCGAGCUGGGUUCAGAACGUCGUGAGACAGUUCGGUCCCUAUCCGUCGCAGGCGUAGGAAAUUUGAGAAGACCUGUCCUUAGUACGAGAGGACCGGGAUGGACGUACCUCUGGUGUACCAGUUGUCCUGCCAAGGGCA